UAGAGAUACGUCCUCCCUUGUGGUUUGUAUACAGGUGGUGCAUGGUUGUCGUCAGCUCGUGUCGUGAGAUGUUGGGUUAAGUCCCGCAACGAGCGCAACCCUUGUCUUAUGUUGCCAGCAUUUGGUUGGGGACUCAUGAGAGACUGCCGGGGUCAACUCGGAGGAAGGUGGGGAUGACGUCAAAUCAUCAUGCCCCUUAUGUCCAGGGCUUCACACAUGCUACAAUGGUCGGUACAACGCGCAGCGACACUGUGAGGUGGAGCGAAUCGCUGAAAGCCGGCCUUAGUUCGGAUUGGGGUCUGCAACUCGACCCCAUGAAGUCGGAGUCGCUAGUAAUCGCAGAUCAGCAACGCUGCGGUGAAUACGUUCCCGGGCCUUGUACACACCGCCCGUCACGUCAUGAAAGUUGGUAACACCCGAAGCCAGUGGCUCAAACUCGUUAGGGAGCUGUCGAAGGUGGGAUCGGCGAUUGGGACGAAGUCGUAACAAGGUAGCCGUACCGGAAGGUGCGGCUGGAUCACCUCCUUUCUAAGGAG
Molecule: ribosomal RNA, 536 nt
Filed under: Corynebacterium striatum
Lineage: Bacteria; Bacillati; Actinomycetota; Actinomycetes; Mycobacteriales; Corynebacteriaceae
Description: bacterial SSU rRNA
Rfam family: Bacterial small subunit ribosomal RNA
Source: RNAcentral